RNAcentral lists this ribosomal RNA (460 nucleotides) under uncultured bacterium. RNAcentral describes it as "partial 16S ribosomal RNA". It matches the Rfam family "Bacterial small subunit ribosomal RNA", at positions 338 to 795 of the family's 1533-position model. The record is from RNAcentral.
CCUACGGGAGGCAGCAGUGAGGAAUAUUGGUCAAUGGACGAGAGUCUGAACCAGCCAAGUAGCGUGAAGGAUGACUGCCCUAUGGGUUGUAAACUUCUUUUAUAUGGGAAUAAAAUGUUCCACGUGUGGGAUUUUGUAUGUACCAUAUGAAUAAGGAUCGGCUAACUCCGUGCCAGCAGCCACGGUAAUACGGAGGAUCCGAGCGUUAUCCGGAUUUAUUGGGGUUAAAGGGAGCGUAGGUGGAUUGUUAAGUCAGUUGUGAAAGUUUGCGGCUCAACCGUAAAAUUGCAGUUGAAACUGGCAGUCUUGAGUACAGUAGAGGUGGGCGGAAUUCGUGGUGUAGCGGUGAAAUGCUUAGAUAUCACGAAGAACUCCGAUUGCGAAGGCAGUUCACUGGACUGCAACUGACAUUGAGGCUCGAAAGUGUGGGUAUCAAACAGGAUUAGAUACCCCUGUAGUC